GACGAACGCUGGCGGCGUGCUUAACACAUGCAAGUCGAGCGGUAAGGCCCUUUUGGGGGUACACGAGCGGCGAACGGGUGAGUAACACGUGGGUGACCUGCCUUCAGCUUCGGGAUAAGCUUGGGAAACUGGGUCUAAUACCGGAUAUGACUUGGCCUCGCAUGGGGUUGGGUGGAAAGUUUUUUCGCUGGAGAUGGGCCCGCGGCCUAUCAGCUUGUUGGUGGGGUGAUGGCCUACCAAGGCGACGACGGGUAGCCGGCCUGAGAGGGCGACCGGCCACACUGGGACUGAGAUACGGCCCAGACUCCUACGGGAGGCAGCAGUGGGGAAUCUUGCGCAAUGGGCGGAAGCCUGACGCAGCGACGCCGCGU
Molecule: ribosomal RNA, 371 nt
Filed under: uncultured bacterium
Lineage: Bacteria
Description: bacterial SSU rRNA
Rfam family: Bacterial small subunit ribosomal RNA
Source: RNAcentral